This 497-nucleotide ribosomal RNA is filed under the name uncultured bacterium. Its description in RNAcentral is "partial 16S ribosomal RNA". It matches the Rfam family "Bacterial small subunit ribosomal RNA", at positions 28 to 507 of the family's 1533-position model. The record is from RNAcentral.
GAUGAACGCUGGCGGCGUGCCUAAUACAUGCAAGUCGAGCGAACAGACGAGGAGCUUGCUCCUCUGACGUUAGCGGCGGACGGGUGAGUAACACGUGGAUAACCUACCUAUAAGACUGGGAUAACUUCGGGAAACCGGAGCUAAUACCGGAUAAUAUAUUGAACCGCAUGGUUCAAUAGUGAAAGACGGUUUUGCUGUCACUUAUAGAUGGAUCCGCGCCGCAUUAGCUAGUUGGUAAGGUAACGGCUUACCAAGGCAACGAUGCGUAGCCGACCUGAGAGGGUGAUCGGCCACACUGGAACUGAGACACGGUCCAGACUCCUACGGGAGGCAGCAGUAGGGAAUCUUCCGCAAUGGGCGAAAGCUUGACGGAGCAACGCCGCGUGAGUGAUGAAGGUCUUCGGAUCGUAAAACUCUGUUAUUGGGGAAGAACAAAUGUGUAAGUAACUAUGCACGUCUUGACGGUACCUAAUCAGAAAGCCACGGCUAACUACGUG